This 366-nucleotide ribosomal RNA is filed under the name uncultured bacterium. RNAcentral's name for it is "bacterial SSU rRNA". It matches the Rfam family "Bacterial small subunit ribosomal RNA", at positions 114 to 507 of the family's 1533-position model. The record is from RNAcentral.
CACGUUGGAACCUGCCCCAAAGUAAGGGAUAAGCCACCGAAAGGUGGGUCUAAUACCUUAUAGUAUCCAUCUCGUAUGGAUUAAAGCUUUAUGCGCUUUGGGAGGGGCCUGCGUUUGAUUAGCUAGUUGGUGAGGUAAAAGCUCACCAAGGCGACGAUCAAUAGCUGGUUUGAGAGGAUGACCAGCCACACUGGGACUGAGAUACGGCCCAGACUCCUACGGGAGGCAGCAGUAAGGAAUCUUCCACAAUGGGGCAACCCUGAUGGAGCAAUACCGCGUGCAGGAUGAAGCGUUUCGGCGUGUAAACUGCUUUUAUCACCGAAGAUUAUGACUGUAGGUGAAGAAUAAGGACCGGCUAACUACGUG